This 467-nucleotide ribosomal RNA is filed under the name uncultured bacterium. RNAcentral's name for it is "partial 16S ribosomal RNA". It matches the Rfam family "Bacterial small subunit ribosomal RNA", at positions 28 to 507 of the family's 1533-position model. The record is from RNAcentral.
GACGAACGCUGGCGGCGUGCUUAACAUAUGCAAGUCGAACGGAAAGGCCUCUUUCGGGGGGUACUCGAGUGGCGAACGGGUGAGUAACACGUGAGUAACCUGCCCUUGACUUUGGGAUAACUUCAGGAAACUGGGGCUAAUACCGGAUAGGAGCUCCUGCUGCAUGGUGGGGGUUGGAAAGUUUCGGCGGUUGGGGAUGGACUCGCGGCUUAUCAGCUUGUUGGUGGGGUAGUGGCUUACCAAGGCUUUGACGGGUAGCCGGCCUGAGAGGGUGACCGGCAACAUUGGGACUGAGAUACGGCCCAGACUCCUACGGGAGGCAGCAGUGGGGAAUAUUGCACAAUGGGUGGAAGCCUGAUGCAGCAACGCCGGGUGCGGGAUGACGGCCUUCGGGUUGUAAACCGCUUUCGCUCAUGACGAAGCUUUGUGUGACGUUAGUGGGUAAAGAAGCACCGGCUAACUACGUG